RNAcentral lists this small nuclear RNA (104 nucleotides) under Dasypus novemcinctus (nine-banded armadillo). The record is from RNAcentral. Lineage: Eukaryota; Metazoa; Chordata; Mammalia; Cingulata; Dasypodidae.
GUGCCCACUUCAGCAGCACAUAUACUAAAAUUGGAAUGAUACAGAGAUUAGCAUGGCCUCUACGCAAGGAUGACCUGCAAAUUCAAGAAGAAUUCCAUAUUUUU